ACCCCUAUAACGCAAUGGAUAGCGCGUUGGACUUGUUUUCCAAAGGUCGUGUGUUCUAGUCCUACUUGGGGUG
Molecule: non-coding RNA, 73 nt
Organism: Trichonephila clavipes
Lineage: Eukaryota; Metazoa; Arthropoda; Arachnida; Araneae; Nephilidae
Source: the annotation of a GenBank genome assembly